CAAUAGCGUAUAUUAAAGCUGUUGCGGUUAAAAAGCUCGUAGUUGGAUUUCUGUCAAGUACAACUGGUCCGCCCUCCGGGUGAGCACAUAGUUUGGUCUUGGCAUCUUGCUGGAAGCUGUUGCUGCACUUGGCUGUGUGGCGCAGUGUUCAGCACUUUCACUUUGAGGAAAUUGGAGUGUUUCAAGCAGGCACAUGCCUUUGGACACAGUAGCAUGGAAUAAUUAGAUUGGGCUUUUGCUCCAAUUUGUCGGUUUCUGGAGCUGAGGUGAGUAUUAAUGGGGAUUGUUGGGGGCAUCCGAAUUUAGCCGUCAGAGGUGAAAUUCUUGGAUCUGCUAAAGACGGACAACUGCGAAAGCGUUUGCCCAGGAUGUUUUCNUUGA
Molecule: ribosomal RNA, 381 nt
Filed under: uncultured eukaryote
Lineage: Eukaryota
Description: partial 18S ribosomal RNA
Rfam family: Eukaryotic small subunit ribosomal RNA
Source: RNAcentral